RNAcentral lists this long non-coding RNA (784 nucleotides) under Homo sapiens (human). Its description in RNAcentral is "LHRI_LNC1176.1". Lineage: Eukaryota; Metazoa; Chordata; Mammalia; Primates; Hominidae. The record is from RNAcentral.
AAAUAGUUUUAUGUCAUAAACAUCCAAUAUUUGAAGAUUUCUUAAGGGUACUCUUUCAUGUGUAUAUUGAAGGUUAUUCAGCUGGCAGGAAAAUAUUCCAGGGACAAUUGUUGCAUACUUUAUUCUGUUGAGGAUAAAGAAUUAAAAAUAAAAGUCAGGCAUUCCAAAGAGUAGCUGUAGGAGGCUGUGCGCUGGAACAUCGCUCUAGUGUGCUGCUUUGUUCAUAAGAAAAAAUGAAGGCACACGCAUAUGUACUUAGUUCACUUCUUUUUGCUCUUUAUGUCUAAUCAGAUUUGCUCUGUCCCCAAGAAAAAUAAAAGACAAACUUUGCUGACUCCACUGACAAGGGCACCAUAGACUUUCCAGACAUCUGACAGUUAUUAUAAUUAGCUAUGAAAGACUGCAAAGACACUUGGGGGCAAAUAGCUCUUAAAUUCUGAACAAUGGCUUCAAGCCAGGGCUUUAUAUGUUUUUUUAACCACCACUUUUAAUUUUAUAAUAAGGAUAGAGACUGAACUGGUUUCGGUGUUGUAGUCCACACAAUGUGAAAUAAAGUCCCAGCAGAAGUGAAGGCGACUGAAAGUGGCCAGUGUAAAGACAGAAGGAAAAGACAGCUUUCUGUCUUAGGAUCUAGCCUUCCAUGUAUAAAGAUUUUUUUUUUUUUUGAAAUUCCUAAUAGGGUGGAGUGAGGAUGUGGGGGUGGGGAGGAAGCAUGCGGAAGCUUCUUUAUAGAAGAAUGCUUGAAGAAUAAAAUAAUUUGGCAUUUCUUCUUUCUAGCAAGCAA